Drosophila takahashii is the source of this 832-nucleotide non-coding RNA. NCBI's taxonomy places the organism in Eukaryota, Metazoa, Arthropoda, Insecta, Diptera, Drosophilidae. The record is from RefSeq and is a predicted model, not a curated record.
ACUCGAGAGCCAGCAUUAUUAAUACAUUUUUUCAGUAUUCAAAUUCUCAAAAUGUGUAGACCAACAACUUUCGCUAAAUAUUGUGGAACAUCUUGGUUUGUUGUUAGUGGAUUAAUGGCAAUUGCAAUAUUAGUGCAACCUCAAGAUGCUUUAUAAACGUAAACUUGAUAUUUUUUAGCACCAAAAGAAUUUUACAAGCUUUGUUUGUCAUAUAUAAUCAUUUCCAUGUGGAUGGUUUAUCAUGCCGCGUACAUCGUUUUAAUCUGGUUGACGCACAGAUUGGCAUACGUAUGGUCGAUGCUUGCAAUUGGCACCUUGACUGCGCUACUUAUUAUGACGUUUUUAGUCCUGAACAUGGCAAAAAUUCGUGUCAUGGAUUGGUUUGAUGUCCCAAUGUGGCAAGGAGAACCUGAAAAAGGACGUCGCUUACGUGUACCUCGAUCAACUUCGUCAAUAGGGUUUGGGGAUUUUGGAUGGCUGAUGAUUCCUUUCACUCUUUUUAUGUUUUCUGAUUUAAUGCUACUUCUUGUCACAAUACAUGUUACCCGAUUCCAUGAUAACGAUUACUACCCAGAGAACUCAAUAGGUGCAAAAAUAUGUCCUCGGAGACUAGGAAACUAUUAGACGGUCUUCCACAACCAGCCAGGUGGUCAAAGUGUGGGCCCUCCACUUGGCGGAUAGGGUCUUAUGUAAUCUUCACAAGUUAUUAAUAUUGUUUAGGCUGAACUGUUUAUUAAAAUCAAGAAAUUAUAAUAUUAGUAGGUAUAAAAAGAGAGAACGCGUAGUCCAGUACUUCGACCAUCAUAUACCUGUUACUUAGCUAAUGGGAGUU